This 275-nucleotide ribosomal RNA is filed under the name uncultured bacterium. RNAcentral's name for it is "partial 16S ribosomal RNA". It matches the Rfam family "Bacterial small subunit ribosomal RNA", at positions 85 to 354 of the family's 1533-position model. The record is from RNAcentral.
CCGCCGGCGACCGGCGCACGGGUGAGUAACACGUAUGCAACCCUGGCCGCGACAGAUGGAUAACCGGGAGAAAUCCCGCCUAAUACAACAUAAUGCCGGGAGGGGACAUCCCCCUGCCGGCCAAAGGGGGCGACCCCGGUCACGGAUGGGCAUGCGGCGCAUUAGGUAGUUGGUGGGGCAACGGCCCACCAAGCCGACGAUGCGUAGGGGUUCUGAGAGGAAGGUCCCCCACAUUGGAACUGAGACACGGUCCAAACUCCUACGGAAGGCAGCAG